CAUUUUUAGAGCCUUAUAACUGAAAACGUUUUUUAUGGGAUUAAAUAGGUUAAUAUCAGAUUUUUUUCACAAUUUAUGUGAUAGGUAGUUCACUUGCUUAAGCACUAUUUUAUCUUAAUAAUUUGCUGUCUUACUGCAUAUUGACAUGCAUAUUGGUAUUAUGUUAGCUAGCACAACAGCUAAGGUACUGUAGCUAGCAACAAUAUGAGUUGAUUUGACAUAAGAGCAAAACUUUACUUUUGUAGAUGGAUACACUUCCCAUACCCGUGGUGUCGGGAGAGGCUGUAUUGGCAGGUUGGGUUGUUGUUGAUGAUGGGUAAUUGAGGUUGGCCUAUGGAUAUUUGACCCAGCCAGUUGGUUAAUUCUCCCGCCACCAGCGCGUGAAAUCCACUAGGAUAUUUGCAAGUGUUCUAGUGCAACCGAGUGACUGACGAGGGGAAAACGGAUAACGUUAUUGCGACAUGCUAAAUUUGUAAAGAUAUUCUGAAUGAGUGGAACCUGGCCUCAUUGCUUCCAAAAUUUGAGGGAUGAUCACGGGGUGAACAGGCCUUGAUCCGGGUGGCUGAGGUCCUUGGUGAUCUUCUUGUCCAUCCUGUGACACCGGGUGCUGUAGAUGUCCUGAAGGGCAUGAGUUGGACUGCAGAGUGAAGGAACAGCAGCCAAUAAGUGCUCAGCAUAUGUGGAAACUCCUAAGACUGUUGGACACAUUCCAGGUGAAGCUGGUUAAGAGAAUGCGAAGAGUGUGCAAAACUGUCAAGGCAAUGGGUGGCUACUUUUGAUGUUAUUUUUUAUUUUUUUUUAUUUUUUUACUACAUGAUUCCAUAUGUUAUUUCUUAGUUCUGAUGUCUUCGGUAUUGUUCUACAAUGUGGAAAAUAGUUUAAAAAAGAAACCCUUGAAUGAGUAGGUGUGUCUAAACCUUUGACUAGCACUGUGUGUGUGUGUGUUCUAAAUUAACCUACUAAAACUCACAGACGAUUAGUAAAGCUUAAACCAAGUUUAUUCACCAAUUGUCAUACAGCUCCAUAAGACAAAUACAUGGUUUCACAAGUGGG
Long non-coding RNA from Salvelinus fontinalis (brook trout), 1053 nucleotides. RefSeq lists it as uncharacterized. Lineage: Eukaryota; Metazoa; Chordata; Actinopteri; Salmoniformes; Salmonidae. The record is from RefSeq and is a predicted model, not a curated record. The transcript has 3 exons.